RNAcentral lists this ribosomal RNA (858 nucleotides) under Staphylococcus sp. M_Sw_oHS_01/11_7_3(1). RNAcentral's name for it is "bacterial SSU rRNA". It matches the Rfam family "Bacterial small subunit ribosomal RNA", at positions 33 to 872 of the family's 1533-position model. RNAcentral also lists the same sequence under 1 other name. Lineage: Bacteria; Bacillati; Bacillota; Bacilli; Caryophanales; Staphylococcaceae. The record is from RNAcentral.
ACGCUGGCGGCGUGCCUAAUACAUGCAAGUCGAGCGAACAGACGAGGAGCUUGCUCCUCUGACGUUAGCGGCGGACGGGUGAGUAACACGUGGAUAACCUACCUAUAAGACUGGGAUAACUUCGGGAAACCGGAGCUAAUACCGGAUAACAUGUUGAACCGCAUGGUUCAACAGUGAAAGACGGUCUUGCUGUCACUUAUAGAUGGAUCCGCGCCGCAUUAGCUAGUUGGUAAGGUAACGGCUUACCAAGGCAACGAUGCGUAGCCGACCUGAGAGGGUGAUCGGCCACACUGGAACUGAGACACGGUCCAGACUCCUACGGGAGGCAGCAGUAGGGAAUCUUCCGCAAUGGGCGAAAGCCUGACGGAGCAACGCCGCGUGAGUGAAGAAGGUCUUCGGAUCGUAAAACUCUGUUAUUAGGGAAGAACAAAUGUGUAAGUAACUAUGCACGUCUUGACGGUACCUAAUCAGAAAGCCACGGCUAACUACGUGCCAGCAGCCGCGGUAAUACGUAGGUGGCAAGCGUUAUCCGGAAUUAUUGGGCGUAAAGCGCGCGUAGGCGGUUUUUUAAGUCUGAUGUGAAAGCCCACGGCUCAACCGUGGAGGGUCAUUGGAAACUGGAAAACUUGAGUGCAGAAGAGGAAAGUGGAAUUCCAUGUGUAGCGGUGAAAUGCGCAGAGAUAUGGAGGAACACCAGUGGCGAAGGCGACUUUCUGGUCUGUAACUGACGCUGAUGUGCGAAAGCGUGGGGAUCAAACAGGAUUAGAUACCCUGGUAGUCCACGCCGUAAACGAUGAGUGCUAAGUGUUAGGGGGUUUCCGCCCCUUAGUGCUGCAGCUAACGCAUUAAGCACUCCGC